CAUCACGGCCGAUGACGAGCC
RNAcentral lists this unclassified non-coding RNA (21 nucleotides) under Mus musculus (house mouse). Its description in RNAcentral is "oocyte_clustered_small_RNA10293". The record is from RNAcentral. Lineage: Eukaryota; Metazoa; Chordata; Mammalia; Rodentia; Muridae.